GCUGGCGGCAGGCCUAACACAUGCAAGUCGAGCGGUAACACAGAGAGCUUGCUCUCGGGUGACAAGCGGCGGACGGGUGAGUAACGCGUAGGAAUCUACCUAAUAGUGGGGGAUAGCCCAGGGAAACUUGGAUUAAUACCGCAUACGCCCUAAGGGGGAAAGCGGGGGAUCUUCGGACCUCGUGCUAUUAGAUGAGCCUGCGUAAGAUUAGCUAGUUGGUGAGGUAAGAGCUCACCAAGGCGACGAUCUUUAGCUGGUCUGAGAGGAUGAUCAGCCACACUGGGACUGAGACACGGCCCAGACUCCUACGGGAGGCAGCAGUGGGGAAUAUUGGACAAUGGGGGCAACCCUGAUCCAGCCAUGCCGCGUGUGUGAAGAAGGCCUUCGGGUUGUAAAGCACUUUCAGAUGUGAGGAAAGGUUGCAGAUUAAUACUCUGUAGCUGUGACGUUAACAUCAGAAGAAGGACCGGCUAACUCCGUGCCAGCAGCCGCGGUAAUACGGAGGGUCCGAGCGUUAAUCGGAAUUACUGGGCGUAAAGCGCGCGUAGGUGGUUUCGUCAGUCAGAUGUGAAAGCCCAGGGCUCAACCUUGGAACUGCACCUGAUACUGCGGAACUAGAGUACGAUAGAGGGGAGUGGAAUUUCC
RNAcentral lists this ribosomal RNA (645 nucleotides) under uncultured Oceanospirillales bacterium. RNAcentral's name for it is "bacterial SSU rRNA". It matches the Rfam family "Bacterial small subunit ribosomal RNA", at positions 35 to 671 of the family's 1533-position model. The record is from RNAcentral. Lineage: Bacteria; Pseudomonadati; Pseudomonadota; Gammaproteobacteria; Oceanospirillales.